Molecule: long non-coding RNA, 715 nt
Filed under: Hordeum vulgare
Lineage: Eukaryota; Viridiplantae; Streptophyta; Magnoliopsida; Poales; Poaceae
Description: long non-coding RNA (HVUL_LNC017555)
Source: RNAcentral
CUUGCCUGAAAUUCUUUACCUGCACGCUUCAUCUGACUCGUGCAGCAUUAAGAAGAUGUCACCUUCUCCCUCAAGACCAUUGGCCAUUGGCUUUAAGGUGAAAGAGUUUUGAGUUGGCAUCUCCUGUCUUGAGCCAUUAAAUUCUUGAACGCUGUCUAAUUCUUGAUCUUGCAAUGGCAGCCAGUGCAAGGAUCUUAAACCUCAGGAACUGUUUGAGAGGAAUGUUAGCCAACAUGAGAUCGCCGAGAUCUUGAGCAUGGUGCCAUGGUCCAGGCCCAGAAUAACCUGCUGAAGCCACUUUGGAGAGCAGCAAGUUGUAACCUGGUUUUCAUAUACGACUCCAAGAGCGCAAAACCUUUGCCACCCUAGAAAGCUUGAUAUGCAGUAUGCAGACAUCAUCUCCAGGGGCCAGAGGCUUAGCCCAAGCAGCAGUAACAGGGGGGKUUGGAGUUUGGACAUAGUAAGCAGCACAAACACAUAAAAGCACUGAUCGAGGACAACAAACCAGCAGCAGGAGCACCCGGGAACAGCACAUGAAACGAAAAUGAUGCAUAUGCAGACUCAGGGCAAAGGAGGUUGAGGGGUUAUCCAAACGAGAUUCUCUUUUCUCUAUCGAUUGCCAGUGUCGAGGCUGGGCAUGGUCACAGUUUACCAAAUCUUUCACCAAGGUAUAUGCAAGUUUUUCUCAUGGAUGCUUCCAAAAGACAGAUCAUUG